AGAGUUUGAUCCUGGCUCAGAACGAACGCUGGCGGCAGGCUUAACACAUGCAAGUCGAACGCCCCGCAAGGGGAGUGGCAGACGGGUGAGUAACGCGUGGGAACGUACCCUAAGGUUCGGAACAACUCCGGGAAACUGGAGCUAAUACCGGAUGUGACCGAGAGGUGAAAGAUUUAUCGCCUUAGGAUCGGCCCGCGUUA
Molecule: ribosomal RNA, 200 nt
Filed under: uncultured bacterium
Lineage: Bacteria
Description: partial 16S ribosomal RNA
Rfam family: Bacterial small subunit ribosomal RNA
Source: RNAcentral